GAAAUGCGAUAAGUAAUGUGAAUUGCAGAAUUCAGUGAAUCAUCGAAUCUUUGAACGCACCUUGCGCUCCUUGGUAUUCCUUGGAGCAUGCCUGUUUGAGUAUCAUGAAAUCUUCAAAGUAAAUCUUUUGUUAACUCAAUUGGUUUCUACUUUGGUAUUGGAGGUCUUUGCAGCUUCACACCUGCUCCUCUUUGUUCAUUAGCUGGAUCUCAGUGUUAUGCUUGGUUCCUCUCGGCGUGAUAAGUUAUCUAUCGCUGAGGACACUGUAAAAGGUGGCCAAGGUAAAUGCAGAUGAACCGCUUCUAAUAGUCCAUUUACUUGGACAAUACUUUUAUGAUCUGAUCUCAAAUCAGGUAGGACUACCCGCUGAACUUAAGC
This 378-nucleotide unclassified non-coding RNA is filed under the name plant metagenome. RNAcentral describes it as "partial contains 5.8S ribosomal RNA, internal transcribed spacer 2, and large subunit ribosomal RNA". The stretch from base 1 to 105 matches the Rfam family "5.8S ribosomal RNA", at positions 50 to 154 of the family's 154-position model. The record is from RNAcentral.